This 496-nucleotide ribosomal RNA is filed under the name uncultured bacterium. RNAcentral's name for it is "partial 16S ribosomal RNA". It matches the Rfam family "Bacterial small subunit ribosomal RNA", at positions 29 to 507 of the family's 1533-position model. The record is from RNAcentral.
AUGAACGCUGGCGGCGUGCCUAAUACAUGCAGGUCGAGCGAACAGACGAGGAGCUUGCUCCUCUGACGUUAGCGGCGGACGGGUGAGUAACACGUGGAUAACCUACCUAUAAGACUGGGAUAACUUCGGGAAACCGGAGCUAAUACCGGAUAAUAUAUUGAACCGCAUGGUUCAAUAGUGAAAGACGGUUUUGCUGUCACUUAUAGAUGGAUCCGCGCCGCAUUAGCUAGUUGGUAAGGUAACGGCUUACCAAGGCAACGAUGCGUAGCCGACCUGAGAGGGUGAUCGGCCACACUGGAACUGAGACUCGGUCCAGACUCCUACGGGAGGCAGCAGUAGGGAAUCUUCCGCAAUGGGCGAAAGCCUGACGGAGCAACGCCGCGUGAGUGAUGAAGGUCUUCGGAUCGUAAAACUCUGUUAUUAGGGAAGAACAAAUGUGUAAGUAACUAUGCACGUCUUGACGGUACCUAAUCAGAAAGCCACGGCUAACUACGUG